ACUCUAAGCGGUGGAUCACUCGGCUCAUGGGUCGAUGAAGAACGCAGCAAACUGUGCGUCAUCGUGUGAACUGCAGGACACAUGAACAUCGACAUUUUGAACGCAUAUCGCAGUCCAUGCUGUUAUGUACUUUAAUUAAUUUUAUAGUGCUGCUUGGACUACAUAUGGUUGAGGGUUGUAAGACUAUGCUAAUUAAGUUGCUUAUAAAUUUUUAUAAGCAUAUGGUAUAUUAUUGGAUAAAUAUAAUAAUUUUUAUUCAUAAUAUUAAAAAAUAAAUGAAAAACAUUAUCUCACAUUUGAAUGUGAAAAACGAAGAGAAAUAUUUUCUUUUUCAAUCAAAUAAUACUGAGAAAUGUCUAGCAUAAAAAAUUGAAAUAUUUUUCAUCUAGAAUUGUCUCUUAUUAAUGAUUCGGAAAUAGAAAAAUCUUGGUUAUGUUAUUAUUCUUCGUUGGUUCGUUAAAAAUGGAUAAAUAAAAACUUUGCAUACAAGAAUUAAUAAAAAUGUUAUAACGAAUUUAAUUAAAUGUUUUAUCAUUAUAUAUAAAGAAUUUAUGGCAAGAUAAAGUUAUAUACAACCUCAACUCAUAUGGGACUACCCCCUGAAUUUAAGCAUAUUAAUUAGGGGAGGAAAAGAAACUAACAAGGAUUUUCUUAGUAGCGGCGAGCGAAAAGAAAACAGUUCAGCACUAAGUCACUUUGUCUAUAUGGCAAAUGUGAGAUGCAGUGUAUGGAGCGUCAAUAUUCUAGUAUGAGAAAUUAACGAUUUAAGUCCUUCUUAAAUGAGGCCAUUUACCCAUAGAGGGUGCCAGGCCCGUAUAACGUUAAUGAUUACUAGAUGAUGUUUCCAAAGAGUCGUGUUGCUUGAUAGUGCAGCACUAAGUGGGUGGUAAACUCCAUCUAAAACUAAAUAUAACCAUGAGACCGAUAGUAAACAAGUACCGUGAGGGAAAGUUGAAAAGAACUCUGAAUAGAGAGUUAAACAGUACGUGAAACUGCUUAGAGGUUAAGCCCGAUGAACCUGAAUAUCCGUUAUGGAAAAUUCAUCAUUAAAAUUGUAAUAUUUAAAUAAUAUUAUGAGAAUAGUGUGCAUUUUUUCCAUAUAAGGACAUUGUAAUCUAUUAGCAUAUACCAAAUUUAUCAUAAAAUAUAACUUAUAGUUUAUUCCAAUUAAAUUGCUUGCAUUUUAACACAGAAUAAAUGUUAUUAAUUUGAUAAAGUGCUGAUAGAUUUAUAUGAUUACAGUGCGUUAAUUUUUCGGAAUUAUAUAAUGGCAUAAUUAUCAUUGAUUUUUGUGUUUAUUAUAUGCACUUGUAUGAUUAACAAUGCGAAAGAUUCAGGAUACCUUCGGGACCCGUCUUGAAACACGGACCAAGGAGUCUAACAUAUGUGCAAGUUAUUGGGAUAUAAACCUAAUAGCGUAAUUAACUUGACUAAUAAUGGGAUUAGUUUUUUAGCUAUUUAUAGCUAAUUAACACAAUCCCGGGGCGUUCUAUAUAGUUAUGUAUAAUGUAUAUUUAUAUUAUUUAUGCCUCUAACUGGAACGUACCUUGAGCAUAUAUGCUGUGACCCGAAAGAUGGUGAACUAUACUUGAUCAGGUUGAAGUCAGGGGAAACCCUGAUGGAAGACCGAAACAGUUCUGACGUGCAAAUCGAUUGUCAGAAUUGAGUAUAGGGGCGAAAGACCAAUCGAACCAUCUAGUAGCUGGUUCCUUCCGAAGUUUCCCUCAGGAUAGCUGGUGCAUUUUAAUAUUAUAUAAAAUAAUCUUAUCUGGUAAAGCGAAUGAUUAGAGGCCUUAGGGUCGAAACGAUCUUAACCUAUUCUCAAACUUUAAAUGGGUAAGAACCUUAACUUUCUUGAUAUGAAGUUCAAGGUUAUGAUAUAAUGUGCCCAGUGGGCCACUUUUGGUAAGCAGAACUGGCGCUGUGGGAUGAACCAAACGUAAUGUUACGGUGCCCAAAUUAACAACUCAUGCAGAUACCAUGAAAGGCGUUGGUUGCUUAAAACAGCAGGACGGUGAUCAUGGAAGUCGAAAUCCGCUAAGGAGUGUGUAACAACUCACCUGCCGAAGCAACUAGCCCUUAAAAUGGAUGGCGCUUAAGUUGUAUACCUAUACAUUACCGCUAAAGUAGAUGAUUUAUAUUACUUGUGAUAUAAAUUUUGAAACUUUAGUGAGUAGGAAGGUACAAUGGUAUGCGUAGAAGUGUUUGGCGUAAGCCUGCAUGGAGCUGCCAUUGGUACAGAUCUUGGUGGUAGUAGCAAAUAAUCGAAUGAGACCUUGGAGGACUGAAGUGGAGAAGGGUUUCGUGUGAACAGUGGUUGAUCACGAGUUAGUCGGUCCUAAGUUCAAGGCGAAAGCCGAAAAUUUUCAAGUAAAACAAAAAUGCCUAACUAUAUAAACAAAGCGAAUUAUAAUACACUUGAAUAAUUUUGAACGAAAGGGAAUACGGUUCCAAUUCCGUAACCUGUUGAGUAUCCGUUUGUUAUUAAAUAUGGGCCUCGUGCUCAUCCUGGCAACAGGAACGACCAUAAAGAAGCCGUCGAGAGAUAUCGGAAGAGUUUUCUUUUCUGUUUUAUAGCCGUACUACCAUGGAAGUCUUUCGCAGAGAGAUAUGGUAGAUGGGCUAGAAGAGCAUGACAUAUACUGUUGUGUCGAUAUUUUCUCCUCGGACCUUGAAAAUUUAUGGUGGGGACACGCAAACUUCUCAACAGGCCGUACCAAUAUCCGCAGCUGGUCUCCAAGGUGAAGAGUCUCUAGUCGAUAGAAUAAUG
Molecule: ribosomal RNA, 2770 nt
Filed under: Drosophila melanogaster (fruit fly)
Lineage: Eukaryota; Metazoa; Arthropoda; Insecta; Diptera; Drosophilidae
Description: eukaryotic LSU rRNA
Rfam family: Eukaryotic large subunit ribosomal RNA (bases 573-2770)
Source: RNAcentral